Molecule: small nuclear RNA, 23 nt
Filed under: Arabidopsis thaliana (thale cress)
Lineage: Eukaryota; Viridiplantae; Streptophyta; Magnoliopsida; Brassicales; Brassicaceae
Description: snRNA_01591
Source: RNAcentral
ACUUGCUUUUUGGUUAAUUAACA